RNAcentral lists this ribosomal RNA (253 nucleotides) under uncultured Lachnospiraceae bacterium. RNAcentral's name for it is "partial 16S ribosomal RNA". It matches the Rfam family "Bacterial small subunit ribosomal RNA", at positions 524 to 776 of the family's 1533-position model. Lineage: Bacteria; Bacillati; Bacillota; Clostridia; Lachnospirales; Lachnospiraceae. The record is from RNAcentral.
UACGUAGGGGGCAAGCGUUAUCCGGAUUUACUGGGUGUAAAGGGAGCGUAGACGGCGAAGAAAGUCUGAAGUGAAAGCCCGCGGCUCAACCGCGGAAUGGCUUUGGAAACUUUUUUGCUGGAGUACCGGAGAGGUAAGCGGAAUUCCUAGUGUAGCGGUGAAAUGCGUAGAUAUUAGGAAGAACACCAGUGGCGAAGGCGGCCGCCUGGCCUGUUGCUGACGCUGAGGCACGAAAGCGUGGGGAGCAAAUAGG